This 838-nucleotide ribosomal RNA is filed under the name uncultured bacterium. RNAcentral describes it as "bacterial SSU rRNA". It matches the Rfam family "Bacterial small subunit ribosomal RNA", at positions 8 to 848 of the family's 1533-position model. The record is from RNAcentral.
AGAGUUUGAUCCUGGCUCAGGAUGAACGCUAGCGGGAGGCUUAACACAUGCAAGUCGAACGGUAAGGUCCCUUCGGGGAUACACGAGUGGCGCACGGGUGAGUAACGCGUAUGCAACCUACCUUUUACAGGGGAAUAGCCCAGAGAAAUUUGGAUUAAUGCCCCAUAGUUCUGUAUUGUCGCAUGGCAAGACAGAUAAAGCUACGGCGGUAAGAGAUGGGCAUGCGUGACAUUAGAUUGUUGGCGGGGUAACGGCCCACCAAGUCUGCGAUGUCUAGGGGUUCUGAGAGGAUGAUCCCCCACACUGGUACUGAGACACGGACCAGACUCCUACGGGAGGCAGCAGUGAGGAAUAUUGGUCAAUGGGCGCAAGCCUGAACCAGCCAUCCCGCGUGAAGGACGACUGCCCUAUGGGUUGUAAACUUCUUUUCUGUACCAAGAACGUACCCUACGUGUAGGGUAGUGACGGUAGUACAGGAAUAAGCAUCGGCUAACUCCGUGCCAGCAGCCGCGGUAAUACGGAGGAUGCGAGCGUUAUCCGGAUUCAUUGGGUUUAAAGGGUGCGUAGGCGGCUUUUUAAGUCAGUGGUGAAAUCCUGCGGCUCAACCGUAGAACUGCCAUUGAAACUGAAGAGCUUGAAUACACUUGAGGUAAGCGGAAUGAGUAGUGUAGCGGUGAAAUGCUUAGAUAUUACUCAGAACACCAAUUGCGAAGGCAGCUUACCAAAGUGAUAUUGACGCUGAGGCACGAAAGCGUGGGGAGCGAACAGGAUUAGAUACCCUGGUAGUCCACGCCGUAAACGAUGUUCACUCGCUGUUUGCGAUAUACAGUAAGCGGCC